This 118-nucleotide ribosomal RNA is filed under the name Sinocyclocheilus rhinocerous. Lineage: Eukaryota; Metazoa; Chordata; Actinopteri; Cypriniformes; Cyprinidae. The record is from RNAcentral.
GUCGGCAGCCAUAUCACCCUGUAGCCCAAGACUGGUUGCCCACUGAAGCUAAGCAGGGCUGAGCCUGGUCAGUACCUGGAUGGGAGACCUCCUGAGAAAAACUAGGUUGCUGCUGGAA